ACUCUGGGAUAAGCGCUGGAAACGGCGUCUAAUACUGGAUAUGAGCCUCUUCCGCAUGGUGGGGGGUUGGAAAAGAUUUUUUUUUUUGGUCUGGGAUGGGGCUCGCGGCCUAUCAGCUUGUUGGUGAGGUAAUGGCUCACCAAGGCGUCGACGGGUAGCCGGCCUGAGAGGGUGACCGGCCACACUGGGACUGAGACACGGCCCAGACUCCUACGGGAGGCAGCAGUGGGGAAUAUUGCACAAUGGGCGAAAGCCUGAUGCAGCAACGCCGCGUGAGGGAUGACGGCCCUUCGGGUUGUAAAACCUCUUUUAGCAGGGAAGAAGCGAAAAGUGACGGUCCUGCAGAAAAAAGCGCCSGGCUAACUCGUGCCA
Molecule: non-coding RNA, 372 nt
Filed under: Microbacterium sp. SUBG005
Lineage: Bacteria; Bacillati; Actinomycetota; Actinomycetes; Micrococcales; Microbacteriaceae
Description: partial 16S ribosomal RNA
Rfam family: Bacterial small subunit ribosomal RNA
Source: RNAcentral